GGGGAAUAUUGGACAAUGGGCGCAAGCCUGAUCCAGCCAUGCCGCGUGAGUGAUGAAGGCCUUAGGGUUGUAAAGCUCUUUCAGUGGGGAAGAUAAUGACGGUACCCACAGAAGAAGCCCCGGCUAACUUCGUGCCAGCAGCCGCGGUAAUACGAAGGGGGCUAGCGUUGUUCGGAUUUACUGGGCGUAAAGCGCACGUAGGCGGAUUGUUAAGUCAGGGGUGAAAUCCUGGAGCUCAACUCCAGAACUGCCUUUGAUACUGGCAAUCUAGAGUCCGGAAGAGGUGAGUGGAACUCCUAGUGUAGAGGUGGAAUUCGUAGAUAUUAGGAAGAACACCAGUGGCGAAGGCGGCUCACUGGUCCGGUACUGACGCUGAGGUGCGAAAGCGUGGGGAGCAAAC
This 400-nucleotide ribosomal RNA is filed under the name uncultured bacterium. Its description in RNAcentral is "bacterial SSU rRNA". It matches the Rfam family "Bacterial small subunit ribosomal RNA", at positions 356 to 773 of the family's 1533-position model. The record is from RNAcentral.